This 410-nucleotide ribosomal RNA is filed under the name Parisotoma insularis. Its description in RNAcentral is "SSU rRNA". It matches the Rfam family "Eukaryotic small subunit ribosomal RNA", at positions 553 to 967 of the family's 1831-position model. The record is from RNAcentral. Lineage: Eukaryota; Metazoa; Arthropoda; Collembola; Entomobryomorpha; Isotomidae.
GGGCAAGUCUGGUGCCAGCAGCCGCGGUAAUUCCAGCUCCAAUAGCGUAUAUUAAUAUUGUUGCGGUUAAAAAGCUCGUAGUUGGAUCUCGGUUUCGGGCGAGCGGUGUACCUUGCGGUAUUUACUGUUUGCCCGGACGAUUUUGUUGGUUCGUUUAUGGUUCUCUUAACCGAGUGCCAUAAGUGGCCAACACGUUUACUUUGAAAAAAUUGGAGUGCUCAAAGCAGGCGCUACAGCCUGAACAUUAGUGCAUGGAAUAAUGGAAUAGGAUCUCGGUUCUAUUUCGUUGGCUUUCGGAGUCGAGGUAAUGAUUAAUAGGGACAGACGGGGGCAUUCGUACUGCGACGUUAGAGGUGAAAUUCUUGGAUCGUCGCAAGACGAACUACUGCGAAAGCAUUUGCCAAGAAUGU